GGCAUUUACUGUAAUAAAGAGAGUUUGGGAGCCCAGUUUUAAAAAUGAGAUUCUUUUUAAACCCUACAUGGGUCCAUGUUCAUGUUUUUUCCCUUCUAAUACUCCUGACAAUCGCACAAAGCUCCUGUGGGGCCGUUGUCUUUUUAAGCAUAAACACUCUCUCAGGGUCUCAGUUCUUUCUAAUCCUAUUGCAUAGCCACAGCCAAAUCACAGUCAUGGCCUGUAUUUCUUUCCUUUCUCUCUUCCUCCUAGCCAUAUUCUUCUCCGCCACCGCCAAGCAAACCUACAUAGUCCAUAUGAAACACAGCUCCAAACCUCAAUCCUUCGUCACCCACAACGACUGGUACACUUCUAGUCUCCAAUCCGUCACUUCCUCCUCCGACUCUCUUCUGUACACCUACAACGCUGCAUUUCCUGGUUUUGCUGCCUCCCUUGACCCUGAGGAAGCUGAAUCCCUUAGAAAGUCUGAAGCCGUUCUUGAUGUCUAUGAAGACACCGUUUACUCUCUGCAUACCACUCGCACUCCUCAAUUUCUUGGUCUCAACAUUGACUUUGGCUUGUUCGAUGGGCAUAACACUUUAGAUAUUGAUCAAGCUUCUCACGAUGUUAUCAUUGGGGUACUUGACACUGGGGUCUGGCCUGAGUCCAAGAGUUUCGAUGACACGGGCAUGCCUGAAAUCCCAAGUCGGUGGAAGGGUGAGUGUGAUUCUGGCAAAGGUUUCAGCCGUAAACUCUGCAACAAGAAGUUGAUUGGAGCUCGUUAUUUUUCAAAGGGCUACCAUAUGGCAUCUGGUGGUAGUUACUUGAAGAAUCCUAAAGAAAAUGAGUCUCCUCGUGACCAAGACGGCCAUGGAACUCACACUGCUAGCACAGCCGCCGGCUCACAGGUGGCCAAUGCUAGUUUACUAGGAUACGCCAGUGGUAUUGCUCGUGGGAUGGCCACGCACGCGCGUUUGGCUAGCUAUAAGGUGUGUUGGAGUACUGGUUGUUUUGGAUCCGACAUCCUCGCAGGAAUGGAUCUGGCCAUUGCGGACGGUGUUGAUGUGCUCUCGCUUUCUCUCGGUGGCGGAUCCGCACCGUAUUAUCGCGACACCAUUGCCAUUGGAGCUUUUGCUGCAAUGGAAAGGGGAAUUUUUGUCUCCUGCUCCGCCGGUAACAGCGGACCCAAUAAAGCCACUUUGGCUAAUGUGGCUCCCUGGAUCACUACCGUUGGAGCCGGAACUUUGGACAGGAAUUUCCCAGCUUACGCAGUGUUGGGUAACAGAAACCGCUUCACAGGCGUUUCGCUCUAUAGUGGAAAGGGAAUGGGGAAGAAACCGGUGGGUCUGAUUUACAACAAGGGGAACAGUUCAAGCAGUUCAAGCAAUUUGUGCUUGCCCGGUUCGCUGGAACCAGCUUUGGUUCGUGGGAAAGUCGUGGUUUGCGAUAGAGGAAUAAACGCUCGCGUAGAAAAGGGUGUAGUGGUCCGCGACGCUGGCGGGAUUGGGAUGAUACUUGCAAACACGGAGGUGAGCGGUGAGGAAUUGGUGGCAGAUAGCCACUUAUUGCCGGCGGUAUCGGUGGGAAGGAAGGCUGGUGAUAUGAUUAGAGAGUAUGUGAAGAGCCAUCCAAACCCAACUGCCGUGUUGAGUUUUGGUGGGACGGUUUUGAACGUGCGGCCGUCACCGGUGGUUGCGGCGUUCAGCUCUAGAGGUCCUAAUCUAGUGACACCGCAAAUCUUGAAGCCUGAUCUGAUUGGCCCUGGAGUCAACAUCCUUGCUGCAUGGUCAGAGGCUGUAGGACCCAUUGGAUUGGAGAAGGACACCAGGAAGACUCAAUUCAACAUCAUGUCAGGAACAUCCAUGUCUUGCCCACACAUCAGUGGAGUAGCUGCAUUGCUAAAGGCUGCACAUCCAAGAUGGAGCCCAAGCGCAAUCAAAUCAGCCCUCAUGACCACCGCCUACGUGGUUGACAACACCAACUCCCCUCUGCGGGAUGCCGGGAGCGUUGCUGGUGCACCCUCCAACCCAUGGGCUCAUGGCUCUGGCCAUGUAGACCCACACAGAGCCCUCUCUCCUGGCCUCGUUUAUGAUAUCUCAACUGACGAUUACGUUGCAUUCUUGUGCUCUCUCCGCUACUCCCUUGAUCAUGUUCAAGCCAUUGUCAAGCGCCCUAACGUUACUUGUUCGAGGAAAUUCAGCGACCCUGGUGAGCUCAAUUACCCAUCAUUCUCGGUGGUGUUUGCAGGCAAAAGGGUUGUAAGAAGGUAUACCCGAGAGUUGACCAAUGUGGGGAAGGCAGGAUCCGUAUAUGAAGUGGCCGUGACUGCGCCAUCUGCGGUGGUGGUGAAAGUGAAGCCAACCAAACUUGUAUUCAGAAAUAUAGGAGAUAAACUUAGAUACACCGUAACUUUCGUUGCAAAGAAAGGCGCAAACGAGGCUGCUAGAUAUGAAUUUGGUUCAAUAGCAUGGAGAAAUGCUCAACACCAAGUGAAAAGCCCAGUUGCCUUUGCUUGGACGCAGUUGUAAGGUCUCUUGUUCAAAAUGGGUUUUCGCUUGUUGGGCCUUUGCAUCAAGAAAAAGAGCUGCAAAGAGGGUUCGAUCAAUGGGAGACGUUCGUUUUAUGUGUUUUCUUUGGCGUUUUGCCAUUAAAAAAAUUAGAUACCCGAAGGUAACGUUUGGGGAAGUUUAAGGUUUAUAUUAUUUGUGUGCUUCCAAAACUAUUGUAAUAGAAUGGCAUAAAUGAUCUUUUGCAUAAUUAACUUAUAUCAGUUUGAAUUGUGAUAACGAGACGGUGGAGUUGAACAAAAUAGAAAUUUUUAGCAAAGGAGUAUAUAAAAAUGCCUGGUCGUAGUCUCUUUGAACUAGAACAUAUUUCUUGUAGGAACCAAUAUUUCUUGGGCUAACAUGAUUGCUCAACUGGGGAUGGACCCCUAGGCCCUAACUAGAAAAUUCUCAUCCAUAGGCUCUGAAUUGUAGCCUGCAUCCUAAAGGACCAUCCCCUUGCAAAUAGGGCAGCAUGACCCAAGAAAUGAUGAAUCCUACCCACUUGAUCUCUCCAGAAUGUACUUUUGUAACAUCCCAUCUUGCAACUAUUGAUUGACAACUACAACCCACUACUUGUGCAAAGAAGCCAUGUAUUAAUUUUUUCCAAACGAGUUAUGGUAAGCAAAGUUGGUGCUCUAAACCAGAACUAUUCUUCCAAUUAUUGAUUCUUUGGUUC
This 3201-nucleotide unclassified non-coding RNA is filed under the name Hevea brasiliensis (rubber tree). The record is from RNAcentral. Lineage: Eukaryota; Viridiplantae; Streptophyta; Magnoliopsida; Malpighiales; Euphorbiaceae.